AAAAUUAAACAUGGGAUAGAUGUCAGGGAAGUCUCGUGAAAAUCGAGCUCUGCCCCGCAACUGUAAACCGCGACGAAAGCUUAAAAUAAGUCACUGGUCUAGUCACAAAUUAGACUGGGAAGACCUUUAGCAAGUAGGAAGACCGGUAAAGACAGGAAACCUGGCUAUCCAAUAAAGUUGCG
This 182-nucleotide non-coding RNA is filed under the name Elusimicrobiota bacterium. The record is from RNAcentral. Lineage: Bacteria; Pseudomonadati; Elusimicrobiota.